RNAcentral lists this ribosomal RNA (469 nucleotides) under uncultured bacterium. RNAcentral's name for it is "partial 16S ribosomal RNA". It matches the Rfam family "Bacterial small subunit ribosomal RNA", at positions 28 to 507 of the family's 1533-position model. The record is from RNAcentral.
GACGAACGCUGGCGGCGUGCUUAACACAUGCAAGUCGAACGGAAAGGCCCUGCUUGCAGGGUGCUCGAGUGGCGAACGGGUGAGUAACACGUGGGUGAUCUGCCCCUUACUUUGGGAUAAGCCUGGGAAACUGGGUCUAAUACUGGAUAGGACCAUGCUGUAGGUGGUGUGGUGGAAAGAUUAGUUUCGGUAAGGGAUGAGCUCGCGGCCUAUCAGCUUGUUGGUGGGGUAAUGGCCUACCAAGGCGUCGACGGGUAGCCGGCCUGAGAGGGUGGACGGCCACAUUGGGACUGAGAUACGGCCCAGACUCCUACGGGAGGCAGCAGUGGGGAAUAUUGCACAAUGGGCGCAAGCCUGAUGCAGCGACGCCGCGUGGGGGAUGACGGCCUUCGGGUUGUAGACUCCUUUCAGCCAUGACGAAGCCCUUGUGGUGACGGUAGUGGGAGAAGAAGCACCGGCUAACUACGUG